UUUAGUUUGUACCUUUUCGAAUUCUCCCUCGACCUCUCGAAUGAAGAACGGCGGCGCCUCUGAUUCUACUCCGGUUGGUUGCGCCGCUGCCACACCACUUCGCCUCUUUCCUCACACUAAACCGCUCCUCCUUCCUUCUCCCUGAGUCAAGCUUUCGUCACCUCUCUCUCCCUCCGAUCGAAUCGACGCUCGGCCUCCGUAAACCUCCGCUCCGCUUUCUCGAUCUCUUUCCGGUACCUCUCUUUCAAUCUCCGCCGUGAACGAUAACACUUCAUUUCUCCCAAUAUCGGUUCUUCGUCUCAGCUUCUCAGUUUUUUUGACUCUCAAUCUCCUUCUCACUUCUCUUUUGAGUUUUGAAUCCUCACUGUUGAGAGAUGACUGACGAUUGAUAAUGGAUGAAUCGUGAAUUAUGGUGGUGAAUCUUGGAGAUGAAUCUUGGAGAUGAUUGACGAUUGAUACACCGUGAUUGUUGAAUCGACGAAGAUACGGAGAUGAAGAAGUGAAGGUGUAAUUCAGAGGGAUUCGGUUCUUGUGAUGAAGAUUGAAGAAAAAGAGGAUGAACCAGAUUUGAACGGGUGAAGUUUCAGAGAAGGAGAGAGAGUUCUUUCUUCGAUUCUGUUACAGAGAGAGUGAUGGUGAUUGAAGAUUGAAUAAGGUUGAAGAUGAGGGUGGUUAGGGAUGAAUUCAGAGAGUGAUGGUUCUGAGAUCAGAAAUGGUGGAGAGGGUUGAUGGUAAGAGCGUGCAGUUCAGAAUUAUGAUGAAGAUGAAGAAUGGUUAUGGAGGAGAUGAAUGAAGGAAUGGUGGAGGAGAGUGGAAGAGGAUGAAGAUGAAAUGGUGUGUGGUUGUGGAACUUAGGCUUAACACAUCUUCAUUCAAAGUUUACAAGCGAAACUAUGAUGAAGAUUGGUGGUUGUGCUUCCAGGUGUGUGUAGAGAAGGAUGAUGAAGAGUGAGGAUUGGAAGAGAGUGUGUAGCAUUUAUAUAUGAGCGAUGAUUGAGGAAUAAUGGUGAAUCCUUGGGUGUGGAGCCUGAAUCAUAGCUUGCAAUGAGCUUUUUUCGAUUUCUCGAGUGUGGGACUUGGAAGGAUAUUUACAUGAAUUGAAGAGGGAUGCUCAUGGUUUUUGUUGUGAAUGAAACAUGAGGUCAGAGGCUGGCGGUUUGGAGGUUUGUGAUGCACAUGGUGAUGACUUCAAGGGAGUGGAAUGCAAAGGCUCUAAAGUUCAGAAGUGGAAUAGGUCCAGGGUAGGAGUUGACUUUGGUCAACUGUGUGACCAAAAAGUCAACAGUUGACUAAAGUCAACUAUAGGUCAAAAUAUGUAAAUUCUUGUAAUGGUGUACUGUAUUUGGAUUUUGCAAUGUGAAUUGGACUUUUGAAUUUUUGUAAUGGAUAUGGACACUUUGUGAUGAAUUUUGGAAUUGGAUAUUUGAAUGGUGAUAGAUGGACAUGGCUUGGCUUUUGUAAUGAAAUGUAAUGAAAUGGUUCAUUUUUUGUAACAAUACUUGAUAUGAUGUGAUGGAGUAAUGAAAUUUUCUUCAUUCUUUAAAUAGCCUUUGAAUAUGUUCUUCCCUCCAUUUUGCUUUCUUUUUGAAUUCAAUCGUGCAUUUCCCUCCUUUCUUCAGAUGAAUGAAUACACACCCUUUUGGCGAAGUUUCAAACGAAUAGCUUGGAUUCCAAGUACUCAAAAUGAACCAUUUUGGAUUGAAGAAUAAACCAGAUGACCCCCUAACAAUAAGAUGAUCAUAGGAACAACCCUGAAAAUCCACCAGUUGACACAAGCACAACAAAA
Long non-coding RNA from Vicia villosa (hairy vetch), 1786 nucleotides. RefSeq lists it as uncharacterized. The record is from RefSeq and is a predicted model, not a curated record. Lineage: Eukaryota; Viridiplantae; Streptophyta; Magnoliopsida; Fabales; Fabaceae. The transcript is spliced from 4 exons.